UACGUAGGGGGCAAGCGUUGUCCGGAUUUAUUGGGCGUAAAGAGCGUGUAGGCGGCUUUACAGGUCCGUUGUGAAAACUCGAGGCUCAACCUCGAGACGCCGGUGGAAACCGUAAAGCUAGAGUCCGGAAGAGGAGAGUGGAAUUCCUGGUGUAGCGGUGAAAUGCGCAGAUAUCAGGAAGAACACCCGUGGCGAAGGCGGCUCUCUGGGACGGUACUGACUCUGAGACGCGAAAGCGUGGGGAGCGAACAGG
RNAcentral lists this ribosomal RNA (253 nucleotides) under uncultured bacterium. RNAcentral describes it as "partial 16S ribosomal RNA". It matches the Rfam family "Bacterial small subunit ribosomal RNA", at positions 524 to 776 of the family's 1533-position model. The record is from RNAcentral.